Molecule: ribosomal RNA, 275 nt
Filed under: uncultured bacterium
Lineage: Bacteria
Description: partial 16S ribosomal RNA
Rfam family: Bacterial small subunit ribosomal RNA
Source: RNAcentral
CCUACGGGUGGCUGCAGUGGGGAAUUUUCCGCAAUGGGCGAAAGCCUGACGGAGCAAUACCGCGUGAGGGAUGACGGCCUAUGGGUUGUAAACCUCUUUUUUCAGGGAGGAAUCAAUGACGUGUACCUGAGGAAUAAGCAUCGGCUAACUCCGUGCCAGCAGCCGCGGUAAGACGGAGGAUGCAAGUGUUAUCCGGAAUCACUGGGCGUAAAGCGUCUGUAGGUGGUCAAAUAAGUCAACUGUUAAAUCUUGAGGCUCAACCUCAAAAUCGCAGU